Molecule: RNA transcript, 1207 nt
Organism: Eriocheir sinensis (Chinese mitten crab)
Lineage: Eukaryota; Metazoa; Arthropoda; Malacostraca; Decapoda; Varunidae
Gene name: protein FRA10AC1 homolog
Exons: 7
Source: RefSeq, a predicted model, not a curated record
AACGUAAACAAACAAGACCAAGACCAAGGGGUGGCAGGGAAGGGUGUUUUUUUUUCUGAUUGCGUGUUAGCCUCAAAAACCCUCCUGUCACACCUCGACGUGGAUUAGUCUCGUCACCGUUAAGGAUAAGGGACCUGCGUCAACCUUCUUUUCAACCAUGGCACUGAAGAAUUCAACCACUGGCUAUGACUCAGCCUUUGAGGAAGACAUCAAGCUGCGUAAGAAGCAGCAGGAGCGCCAUGCCAUCAUGUAUUGUGACAAAGGUGCAAGGCAAGGGCUGCCGAAUCGCUCCACCCUGGCGGACAUGGCGAGCCUGGAGGAGGGGCGGCGGCUGCGCUACCAGAUGUCCAACAUGACGGCCUACGAGCGCCACAAGAUGCUCAUCAACCACUAUGUCCUCUACCACCCUGGCAGCACCGCCUUCCUCCAGCGAGACGCCUCUAAAGACAAGAAAGACAUCGACGUCAUAAGGGAGAAUCACCAGUUCCUGUGGGAGAGCUCGGACACUCCGGAGACGUGGGAACAGCAGCUGGCCAAGAAGUACUACGACAAGCUGUUCAAGGAGUACUGCAUCUGUGACCUUUCCCGUUACAAGGAGAACAAGGUGGGCAUGAGGUGGAGGGUCGAGAAGGAGGUGAUAUCCGGCAAGGGUCAGUUCACGUGUGGGGAGAAGAGGUGCAGCGAGCAGGAGGGGCUGAGGACCUGGGAGAUGAACUUUUCGUAUCAGGAGCAAGGAGCCAAGAAGAAUGCCCUCGUCAAGCUGAGUUGGACUCUGCCACUACUGCUCCUACAAAGUGAACUACCACCACAAGAGGAAAGAGGUGACGCGGAAGAACAGGAAGCGGAAAAACAAAGACGACUCGAGCAGGAAGGACUCCAAGAGGAAGAGCAAGAAGGACGAAGCAGCGGCAGAGGAAGAGAAAGAUGAAAGUUCAGCAACAAGCGAAGCACAGAAGGCGGAGGACAUAUGGAAGGGCCCGGCGAAGUUACCUGAUGAUAAGAGCCGCGAGGAGGAGUUUGAAGAGUACCUGGAGGACCUGUUCCUAUGAAUCAAACAGGUUCACAUGUAGGAGGGGAGUGUCGUGACCCCAAGGACGGAGAAGCAGGAGCGCAUGACAGCGUGGAGGGAGCUGAGGAGGUGGAGGCGCGCGUGCAUGAGGGGGAGGAGGUGCGGCAGGAAGCCCUCCGGGACCACCUGGUGUCUGCC